UAACCUGCCCAAGAGAUCGGGAUAGCACCUGGAAACAGAUGCUAAUACCGGAUAACAACAGAUGAUGCCUAUCAACUGUUUAAAAGAUGGUUCUGCUAUCACUCUUGGAUGGACCUGCGGUGCAUUAGCUAGUUGGUAGGGUAACGGCCUACCAAGGCGAUGAUGCAUAGCCGAGUUGAGAGACUGAUCGGCCACAUUGGGACUGAGACACGGCCCAAACUCCUACGGGAGGCAGCAGUU
This 240-nucleotide ribosomal RNA is filed under the name uncultured Lactobacillus sp. Its description in RNAcentral is "partial 16S ribosomal RNA". It matches the Rfam family "Bacterial small subunit ribosomal RNA", at positions 122 to 355 of the family's 1533-position model. Lineage: Bacteria; Bacillati; Bacillota; Bacilli; Lactobacillales; Lactobacillaceae. The record is from RNAcentral.